ACAAACUGCUUUAGAAAAGAAACAGAAAGAGGCUCAAGCCUUUGAGAGGCUGCCACUUUUGUAAAAAAUCUCUCUCUGCCCCCAGCUUUGUUUGACACCCAACAAAUUUCUUUAAUCAAAAUCACUCCUUUCUCUUCUACAGAUAAAUUCCUGGAAAGUGUAAAGGGAAGAAAGCCCCUCCAUUGGGAAAUAGGUUGGUGUCAGGCUACUUGCUUGUCUGAUUCUUCACAAUGAUAAAGGCCAGCAGAGAAAGUUCAGUGCAAAAGUUCAUCAGCCACCAGGCCAUCAGGAGCAUCUAUUGAUCAAAUCAAAUGUUCACUUCAAACUGCGUUUCUUAACCUGCAGGUGUAGAAUCACCCAUAACAGAUACAGUCACACCUAUCUCUGCACAUACUUGUACGUUCAGGACAACCUGAUGUAUUACAAUUAACAACAUGGUGUCAGUACUGCAGAAGGAUUCACUUGUAUAAAAUAUCCACCAGAGAAAUCGCCUGGAAGUUACUUUCUAAUCUCCUUGACUC
RNAcentral lists this long non-coding RNA (521 nucleotides) under Homo sapiens (human). Its description in RNAcentral is "HSALNT0309197". The record is from RNAcentral. Lineage: Eukaryota; Metazoa; Chordata; Mammalia; Primates; Hominidae.